AGAAGGUUCUUUGUUCAUCUCCAUAAUAUUAUUUGUUUCUGGUCGGUUGGGCAUAUAUGCCUAUAUUAGGUUGUGAAUUGCAUCAUAUGAAAAUAAUUGGCAAACGCUCAAGGCACGGGCACUCAUCUGAAAAUAAUUUGAUUCUAGAUAGCAUAUCCUUAUGUGGAACUUUUAUUUUUGCAGGCUCAAGGCAUGGGCACUCAUCUCUGAAGAUGCUUCUCAAAAUUGUCCAAAAAAGGCCUCCACCUAGCAACCAUCUGGUGCAGCAGCCGCACCAAGUCGGCAUGUGUGUUCGGGGUCGAUGGCUUGGAAAACGCAAAUGUGUAGGAGCAGAAGCAGUGCAAGGAAGUGUGGGAGCAGAAGCAGUAUAAGAUCGUCGCUUCGGGCUGCUAUGCAAUGCUUAGCCACCUCGCUCACCUGCACCAUUCCUGAGCAAUGAAGAACCAAGGCGCUCCGUUCCCAUCAAGGCCUUCGCCUUCAGGAGGGCUCCCGGACAGCUGUGAGGAGCGCGGCGCACCUGGUCGACCAUUGGAUCAGUGCAGUUCGGUUCAUGGUAGAAUGCUCCUAGAGUUUUGAUCUCCUCUGCGCCGCUACCGUGAAUCUCUCCAGGUAGUGUCUCCUUCUUUCCCACCCUUCCAGCUUGCUGAGCGCACUCCGGCGCGCCCUUUUUUGUCCGUCAGAUGGUAGCUAUGAACGAACAGGAUCAUCAGUUCGGGUAGAUAGAAGCAAAUUACUGUUAUGUUAUAUGUAAUUCCAUGACUAGCAUCUUGGCCCCGCUUUAAGCAUAGUUGCUGGGUAAAGUGCAUCCGGUAAAAACGGCACCCAAUCUCUCCCGCAUCGGCACAUGAGGAGAAACUUAACCUCUACAUCGUAUACUUCACUGGUUAUUCCUAUUCCUUGCAAUCUGUGCCUCCUAUUUUUCAAAUUGUCUGCAGCUACAUCAGGCAAAUUUAGAAAACUGGGAAUUUGGAAGGUUCAGUUUUAGUGCAACUUAUGUGCACUACGUUUCUUACAGAUCAUAGUAAUCUAUUUACUGAAGUCAGUCCCAGCAGAUUUGAGGUAAAUCGUAGAAUGGACGUGUUCUAAAAAAAGAGAAAGUUGAAUGG
This is a long non-coding RNA of Lolium rigidum, 1106 nucleotides long. RefSeq lists it as uncharacterized. The record is from RefSeq and is a predicted model, not a curated record. NCBI's taxonomy places the organism in Eukaryota, Viridiplantae, Streptophyta, Magnoliopsida, Poales, Poaceae. The transcript has 3 exons.